RNAcentral lists this ribosomal RNA (433 nucleotides) under uncultured bacterium. Its description in RNAcentral is "partial 16S ribosomal RNA". It matches the Rfam family "Bacterial small subunit ribosomal RNA", at positions 29 to 507 of the family's 1533-position model. The record is from RNAcentral.
AACGAACGCUGGCGGCAUGCCUAACACAUGCAAGUCGAACGAGACCUUCGGGUCUAGUGGCGCACGGGUGCGUAACGCGUGGGAACCUGCCCUUAGGUUCGGAAUAACUCCCCGAAAGGGGUGCUAAUACCGGAUAAUGUCUUCGGACCAAAGAUUUAUCGCCUUUGGAUGGGCCCGCGUUGGAUUAGCUAGUUGGUAGGGUAAAAGCCUACCAAGGCGACGAUCCAUAGCUGGUCUGAGAGGAUGAUCAGCCACACUGGGACUGCGACACGGCCCAGACUCCUACGGGAGGCAGCAGUGGGGAAUAUUGGACAAUGGGCGAAAGCCUGAUCCAGCAGUGCCGCGUGAGUGAUGAAGGCCUUAGGGUUGUAAAGCUCUUUUACCCGGGAUGAUAAUGACAGUACCGGGAGAAUAAGCUCCGGCUAACUCCGUG